AAAGACUUGGAACCAAUCCAAAUGCCCAUCAAUGAACACCUGGAUAAAGAAAAUGUGGCACAUACACAGCAUGGAAUACUAUGCAGCCAUAAAUAAGGAUGAAUUCAUGUCCUUUGCAGGGACAUGGAUGAAGCUGGAAAACAUCAUUCUCAGCAAACUAAGUAGAGGAAUUGCUGGAUUAUAUUGAAGGUCUAUUUUUAAUUAUUUGAAGAACCUCCAUUUUGGAAAACUCAAAUUUCUGAGCAGACUGAUCCUGGACUCGACGCGGGGAAUUGUUUGAAAGGCUAUUCACAGAUCAUCAUCAGCCAGAGGUGACUUCUGUUGCUUGCAGCUCAGAAUCCUAGAUGUUUCCGGUGGCACUGAAGAGCCUCUGCUGAAGCUCUAUACCAUUUGCCAUUUACAAAGGGAAAUGAAAUAAUAACGCUGACCAUUUGUGGAGCACAUUCUGUCUGGAGGCAAAGGAUGCCAAGAUGGGAAAGCCACAUAAUGGAAGGAUCCUGGAUUUCAGAGCUGUCACUUGGAGGAGGGGCACCCAGUGAAGGUGUCUUAUCUAACCCACACCAUAUCUUCAUGAAGUGGCCAUAUGGAUUUGAUCCCUAUCCUUCAGAGGUGCUCAGCCUAAGGGAACACGGAUAGUAGAUUAAGCACUGACCAGAGCCAGCCUUGACAAUGUGCUGAUGG
This is a long non-coding RNA of Homo sapiens (human), 681 nucleotides long. Ensembl annotates it as PROX1 antisense RNA 1. Its record names the gene PROX1-AS1. The record is from Ensembl. NCBI's taxonomy places the organism in Eukaryota, Metazoa, Chordata, Mammalia, Primates, Hominidae.